GACGAACGCUGGCGGCGUGCUUAACACAUGCAAGUCGAACGGGCUUCUGGGGUUCUGGCUUUUGGUUGGGGUUCUGGGGGUUAGUGGCGAACGGGUGAGUAACACGUGAGUAACCUGCCCUUCACUUCUGGAUAACCGCUUGAAAGGGUGGCUAAUACGGGAUGUUUCUGGGUCUGUCGCAUGGCGGGUUCGGGAAAGAUGGCACUGUUUGGUGUUUUUGGUGGGGGAUGGGCUCGCGGCCUAUCAGCUUGUUGGUGGGGUGAUGGCCUGCCAAGGCUUUGACGGGUAGCCGGCCUGAGAGGGUGGGCGGUCACACUGGGACUGAGAUACGGCCCAGACUCCUACGGGAGGCAGCAGUGGGGAAUAUUGCACAAUGGGCGGAAGCC
Molecule: ribosomal RNA, 386 nt
Filed under: Actinomyces gerencseriae
Lineage: Bacteria; Bacillati; Actinomycetota; Actinomycetes; Actinomycetales; Actinomycetaceae
Description: bacterial SSU rRNA
Rfam family: Bacterial small subunit ribosomal RNA
Source: RNAcentral